Non-coding RNA from Pelobates cultripes (western spadefoot toad), 259 nucleotides. The record is from the annotation of a GenBank genome assembly. Lineage: Eukaryota; Metazoa; Chordata; Amphibia; Anura; Pelobatidae.
GCCGAUUCGUCUCCUUGGCUGAGAUCCUCAAAAUUGAUGAUCUCCGUCAAUCCACCAAUUCUCCAUAUGGAAAAUGUGUGGCAAAUUGCUGUGCUGCAGCAAUCAAAUGCUCUCUAGGAAAACCAUGUCUGUCUCUUCUCACAGGGGGAGUGCUUCUAGUGGUUGUCAGGAGGACACAAGCAGACAGUAGGCAAAUAAAUAAAUGGGGGGGGGGAGGGGAGACAACCUUGUAGGGAUAAUUGUAGGGACAAAAUAUUAA